RNAcentral lists this ribosomal RNA (785 nucleotides) under Anthophorula sp. 2 JS-2010. RNAcentral's name for it is "SSU rRNA". It matches the Rfam family "Eukaryotic small subunit ribosomal RNA", at positions 457 to 1201 of the family's 1831-position model. Lineage: Eukaryota; Metazoa; Arthropoda; Insecta; Hymenoptera; Apidae. The record is from RNAcentral.
CGGGGAGGUAGUGACGAAAAAUAACGAUACGGGACUCAUCCGAGGCCCCGUAAUCGGAAUGAGUACACUUUAAAUCCUUUAACAAGGACCAAUUGGAGGGCAAGUCUGGUGCCAGCAGCCGCGGUAAUUCCAGCUCCAAUAGCGUAUAUUAAAGUUGUUGCGGUUAAAAAGCUCGUAGUUGAAUCUGUGUGUCACAGUGUCGGUUCACCGCUCGCGGUGCUUAACUGGCAUUAUGUGGUACGUCCUACCGGUGGUCUUAGCUCCUUGCGGGGCGGUCCAACUAAUCUCCCAUCGCGGUGCUCUUCACUGAGUGUCGAGGUGGGCCGGUACGUUUACUUUGAACAAAUUAGAGUGCUCAAAGCAGGCUACCUUCGCCUGAAUAUUGCGUGCAUGGAAUAAUGGAAUAGGACCUCGGUUCUAUUUUGUUGGUUUUCGGAACCCCGAGGUAAUGAUUAAUAGGGACAGAUGGGGGCAUUCGUAUUGCGACGUUAGAGGUGAAAUUCUUGGAUCGUCGCAAGACGGACUAAAGCGAAAGCAUUUGCCAAAAAUGUUUUCAUUAAUCAAGAACGAAAGUUAGAGGUUCGAAGGCGAUCAGAUACCGCCCUAGUUCUAACCAUAAACGAUGCCAGCUGGCGAUCCGCCGAAGUUCCUCCGAUGACUCGGCGGGCAGCUUCCGGGAAACCAAAGCUUUUGGGUUCCGGGGGAAGUAUGGUUGCAAAGCUGAAACUUAAAGGAAUUGACGGAAGGGCACCACCAGGAGUGGAGCCUGCGGCUUAAUUUGACUC